Molecule: ribosomal RNA, 834 nt
Filed under: Escherichia coli
Lineage: Bacteria; Pseudomonadati; Pseudomonadota; Gammaproteobacteria; Enterobacterales; Enterobacteriaceae
Description: partial 23S ribosomal RNA
Rfam family: Bacterial large subunit ribosomal RNA
Source: RNAcentral
GAUACAGGGUGACAGCCCCGUACACAAAAAUGCACAUGCUGUGAGCUCGAUGAGUAGGGCGGGACACGUGGUAUCCUGUCUGAAUAUGGGGGGACCAUCCUCCAAGGCUAAAUACUCCUGACUGACCGAUAGUGAACCAGUACCGUGAGGGAAAGGCGAAAAGAACCCCGGCGAGGGGAGUGAAAAAGAACCUGAAACCGUGUACGUACAAGCAGUGGGAGCACGCUUAGGCGUGUGACUGCGUACCUUUUGUAUAAUGGGUCAGCGACUUAUAUUCUGUAGCAAGGUUAACCGAAUAGGGGAGCCGAAGGGAAACCGAGUCUUAACUGGGCGUUAAGUUGCAGGGUAUAGACCCGAAACCCGGUGAUCUAGCCAUGGGCAGGUUGAAGGUUGGGUAACACUAACUGGAGGACCGAACCGACUAAUGUUGAAAAAUUAGCGGAUGACUUGUGGCUGGGGGUGAAAGGCCAAUCAAACCGGGAGAUAGCUGGUUCUCCCCGAAAGCUAUUUAGGUAGCGCCUCGUGAAUUCAUCUCCGGGGGUAGAGCACUGUUUCGGCAAGGGGGUCAUCCCGACUUACCAACCCGAUGCAAACUGCGAAUACCGGAGAAUGUUAUCACGGGAGACACACGGCGGGUGCUAACGUCCGUCGUGAAGAGGGAAACAACCCAGACCGCCAGCUAAGGUCCCAAAGUCAUGGUUAAGUGGGAAACGAUGUGGGAAGGCCCAGACAGCCAGGAUGUUGGCUUAGAAGCAGCCAUCAUUUAAAGAAAGCGUAAUAGCUCACUGGUCGAGUCGGCCUGCGCGGAAGAUGUAACGGGGCUAAACCAUGCAC